RNAcentral lists this ribosomal RNA (2007 nucleotides) under Triticum aestivum (bread wheat). Its description in RNAcentral is "partial small subunit ribosomal RNA". The record is from RNAcentral. Lineage: Eukaryota; Viridiplantae; Streptophyta; Magnoliopsida; Poales; Poaceae.
AUGCUCCAAAGAAAGAAAGAAACGAGGUCUGGUCGUAUGGAAGGAAGGAAGAGCGGGUCAAAGAGUCAAAGGGUCAAUGCUCACCAUCAGCUUGCAACUUGCAAGCAAGAGGAGAGGAUGAGGACUGAGGAGGAAGAAGAAAGGAAGCAAAGCAGCAGCUGCCGCGACCUCACCCUCUCCUCCCAGUGGGUGAGAGUGACCCAGGCACUGAGCUACCGUGGCCGCGAGCAGGUGCAGGUGCAGGGAAGCAUCACGCACGCCCAAAAUGAGCACCCGCACGCGGUCAAGGAAGCCUCCCCUCGCCCCUCCUUCCCGACGACGACGACAGCCCCACCCGUGUGCGUGUGCGUGUGCCGUCUAUAUAAUCUUCACCCCAUCCAUCCUCAACGGACACCAUCCACUCAUCCAUCAUCCCACCUCUCCUCGCCUUCCUUCCACCACCAAGCAAACCAAAACCAAGGAAGCCAAGCAACCAUGUGCCCGGGCCUCCGCAACGCCAUGGCCACCCACGACCAUCCCCAGCCCUCAUCCUACCUGCUCGACCUGGCCGCCGCCGACGACCUGCCCGCCUUCCGCCGGGCCGUCCAGGACGACAACCUCUCCCUCGUCGCCGCAUCCCCGUGGUACGGCCCUUCGCCCAAGACAGCCAAGACCAGGACCACCCACCAUCUGGCGCUCCACCUCCGCACCCCCGCCAUGGUCGCCGCGCUCUACGGCAGCACCGCCGUCCUCUCCUACGUCCUCUCCAUCGCCCCCUCCGAGGCCGCCCGCGCCUCCGCCUCCGACGGCGCCACCCCGCUCCUCCUCGCCCACGCCGGCCGCGCACCCUCCGCGCCCCACGCCGCCCGCCUCCUCCUCACCGCCGGAGCGUCCGCCGACUCCCUCCUCGCUCUCGACCACCGCCAUCAAACCACCAGACUCCCCGCCAGCCCCACCAAGAAACAACAACAUCCCGAUUCCUCCUCGCCGCCGGAGGCCACCACCAGGAAGACCACCACCAACAAGGACUAUUCGGACUUGGCCCAGACGGAGGACAUCAACGCGGGCGUCUUCGCCACCGACGACUUCCGCAUGUACAGCUUCAAGGUCAACCCGUGCUCCCGCGCCUACACGCACGACUGGACCGAGUGCCCCUUCGCCCACCCGGGCGAGAACGCGCGCCGCCGCGACCCGCGCCGCGUGCCCUACUCCUGCGUCCCCUGCCCGGACUUCCGCCGCGACCCGCAGGCAUGCCGCAAGGGCGACGCCUGCGAGUACGCGCACGGCGUCUUCGAGUCAUGGCUCCACCCGGCGCAGUACCGCACCAGGCUCUGCAAGGACGAGGUCGGAUGCCCCCGCCGCAUCUGCUUCUUCGCGCACGGCGCCCGCCAGCUCCGGGCCGUCAACCCCUCCGCCGCCUCCAUGGCAUCGCCGUCCCCGAGCUCCUCCUCUUCGCCGCCGCCGCGCUCCUUCUCUACAACUACAAGGCCGGCGCUCACGGCGUCGCUCAGCUCGCGGGAGCUCGACUUCGACGCCGACAGCCAGUACGCGCGCAGGAUGAUGAUGGCCAGGGCCAACUCCCCGCCGGACUACUCGCCCGACCUCGUCGCCGCCUACGUCCAGGCGCUCUCCUCCCUGCAGCACCACCAGCUUCAGCAGCAGCAGCAGCAACAACAGAGCAGCGCGCGCGGCAGCACAACCAAGCCGCCCAUGGGAGGAGGGCUGAGCGCCCGCGCCGCGGCCUUCACCAACCGGAGCCAGACCUUCGUGCACCGCUCUCCGGCAUCUCAGGCGCGGUCGUUCGCGUCCCCGGCGGCGGCGUCGUCCAUGCUGGCGGACUGGGGGUCGCCGGACGGGAAGCUGGACUGGGGCGUGCAGGGCGCGGAGCUGCGCAGGUCCACGUCUUUCGGGGUCAGAAGCAGCAACAGCAGCAGGGGGCAGGAGGACAUGUACUCGUCGUGGCUGAACGACGGCGGCAGCGACAUGCUGGCGGCGCGGUGGUCGGACCUGGAGCAGAUGGUCGCCUAG